GACGCAGCUAACGCAUUAAGUUCCCCGCCUGGGGAGUACGGCCGCAAGGCUAAAACUCAAAGGAAUUGACGGGGACCCGCACAAGCGGCGGAGCAUGCGGAUUAAUUCGAUGCAACGCGAAGAACCUUACCAAGGCUUGACAUACACCAGAACACCGUAGAAAUACGGGACUCUUUGGACACUGGUGAACAGGUGGUGCAUGGUUGUCGUCAGCUCGUGUCGUGAGAUGUUGGGUUAAGUCCCGCAACGAGCGCAACCCUCGUUCUGUGUUGCCAGCACGUUAUGGUGGGAACUCAUGGGAUACUGCCGGGGUCAACUCGGAGGAAGGUGGGGAUGACGUCAAAUCAUCAUGCCCCUUAUGUCUUGGGCUUCACGCAUGCUACAAUGGCCGGUACAAAGGGCUGCAAUACCGUGAGGUGGAGCGAAUCCCAAAAAGCCGGUCCCAGUUCGGAUUGAGGUUGAACUCGACCUUCAUGAAGUUGAUCCCCCACAAAUGACGA
This 500-nucleotide ribosomal RNA is filed under the name Microbacterium sp. RNAcentral describes it as "bacterial SSU rRNA". It matches the Rfam family "Bacterial small subunit ribosomal RNA", at positions 845 to 1347 of the family's 1533-position model. Lineage: Bacteria; Bacillati; Actinomycetota; Actinomycetes; Micrococcales; Microbacteriaceae. The record is from RNAcentral.